Molecule: small RNA, 28 nt
Filed under: Bombyx mori (domestic silkworm)
Lineage: Eukaryota; Metazoa; Arthropoda; Insecta; Lepidoptera; Bombycidae
Description: ovarian small RNA-5088
Source: RNAcentral
GACGCGAAGAUUACACACGGCACGCAUC